RNAcentral lists this ribosomal RNA (533 nucleotides) under Nyctalus aviator. RNAcentral's name for it is "partial 16S ribosomal RNA". It matches the Rfam family "Bacterial large subunit ribosomal RNA", at positions 1803 to 2565 of the family's 2925-position model. The record is from RNAcentral. Lineage: Eukaryota; Metazoa; Chordata; Mammalia; Chiroptera; Vespertilionidae.
UUUACCAAAAACAUCACCUCUAGCAUAAAAAGUAUUAGAGGCACUGCCUGCCCAGUGACUUUAGUUCAACGGCCGCGGUAUCCUGACCGUGCAAAGGUAGCAUAAUCACUUGUUCCCUAAAUAGGGACUUGUAUGAAUGGCCCCACGAGGGUUUUGCUGUCUCUUACCUUAAACCAGUGAAAUUGACAUUCCCGUGAAGAGGCGGGGAUAUAAUAAUAAGACGAGAAGACCCUAUGGAGCUUUAAUUCCACAACUCAUAUAAUUCUUGAUACACUCCCUACUAGGGACAAGCUUAUUUUAACUGAGUUAGGAAUUUAGGUUGGGGUGACCUCGGAGUACAAAUAAACCUCCGAGAAAAAUUCUAUUAAGACUAACAAGUCAAAAUUAAAUAUAUCACACUGAUCCGUCAAUGACGAUCAACGAAACAAGUUACCCUAGGGAUAACAGCGCAAUCCUAUUCAAGAGUCCAUAUCGACAAUUAGGGUUUACGACCUCGAUGUUGGAUCAGGACAUCCCAAUGGUGCAGCAGCUAU